Non-coding RNA from Gossypium hirsutum (cotton), 106 nucleotides. Lineage: Eukaryota; Viridiplantae; Streptophyta; Magnoliopsida; Malvales; Malvaceae. The record is from Rfam.
AACCCAUGUUGAGGGCACCUUCUCAAUAAAUCCUUAUACCUCUCCCAUGCAUCGUAUAAGGUCUCUAAGUCCAUUGCACAAAGGAAGAGUUAUCAUUCCUCAACUU